RNAcentral lists this microRNA (22 nucleotides) under Symbiodinium microadriaticum. RNAcentral's name for it is "smc-miR-12460-3p". Lineage: Eukaryota; Dinophyceae; Suessiales; Symbiodiniaceae. The record is from miRBase by way of RNAcentral.
UUCCCAGCUUGUGCCACUGAAA